AGGCGUGAGAAGCACAAGGACAUGAACACUUGCUUUUCCUUCUUACAGGGAACCUUCUGGCCCCCUGGGAAGGACCUUGGGCUGACCUGCUGGGCCCUGAAGUCCAUGUGCCUGAGCCCUGCUGAUGUGGGACCAGCCUCUGCCCUGAGAGAGAUUUGAAAGCAAGCUUCUUCCUCCUUCUGGAACAUUAUUGAUAGUAGACCUUUGUCUGAGGUACAGCUGCUAAGAAUUUCUUCUAGAUGAAAACAACACUGAGAUUCCACCUCAUCCCAGA
Long non-coding RNA from Heterocephalus glaber (naked mole-rat), 274 nucleotides. RefSeq lists it as uncharacterized. NCBI's taxonomy places the organism in Eukaryota, Metazoa, Chordata, Mammalia, Rodentia, Bathyergidae. The record is from RefSeq and is a predicted model, not a curated record.